CCAGACUCCUACGGGAGGCAGCAGUGGGGAAUAUUGCACAAUGGGGGAAACCCUGAUGCAGCGACGCCGCGUGAGCGAUGAAGUAUUUCGGUAUGUAAAGCUCUAUCAGCAGGGAAGAAGAUGACGGUACCUGACUAAGAAGCCCCGGCUAACUACGUGCCAGCAGCCGCGGUAAUACGUAGGGGGCAAGCGUUAUCCGGAUUUACUGGGAGUAAAGGGAGCGUAGACGGCGGUGCAAGCCAGAUGUGAAAGCCCGGGGCUCAACCCUGGGACUGCUUUGGAAACUGUGGAGCUAGAGUGCUGGAGAGGUAAGUGGAAUUCCUAGUGUAGCGGUGAAAUGCGUAGAUAUUAGGAGGAACACCAGUGGCGAAGGCGGCUUACUGGACAGUAACUGACGUUGAGGCUCGAAAGCGUGGGGAGCAAACAGGAUUAGAUACCCCAGUAAA
Molecule: ribosomal RNA, 446 nt
Filed under: uncultured bacterium
Lineage: Bacteria
Description: bacterial SSU rRNA
Rfam family: Bacterial small subunit ribosomal RNA
Source: RNAcentral